CGUUGAGGUGACAUCAUCUGGG
This 22-nucleotide unclassified non-coding RNA is filed under the name Mus musculus (house mouse). RNAcentral's name for it is "oocyte_clustered_small_RNA11366". Lineage: Eukaryota; Metazoa; Chordata; Mammalia; Rodentia; Muridae. The record is from RNAcentral.